AGAGUGAACGCUGGCGGUAGGCCUAACACAUGCAAGUCGAACGGCAGCACAGUGGUAGCAAUACCAUGGGUGGCGAGUGGCGGACGGGUGAGGAAUACAUCGGAAUCUACCUUUUCGUGGGGGGAUAACGUAGGGAAACUUACGCUAAUACCGCAUACGCCCUUCGGGGGAAAGCCGGGGAUCGCAGACCUGGCGCGGAUAGAUGAGCCGAUGUCGGAUUAGCUAGUUGGUGAGGUAAUGGCUCACCAAGGCGACGAUCCGUAGCUGGUCUGAGAGGAUGAUCAGCCACACUGGAACUGAGACACGGUCCAGACUCCUA
This 319-nucleotide ribosomal RNA is filed under the name uncultured soil bacterium. RNAcentral describes it as "bacterial SSU rRNA". It matches the Rfam family "Bacterial small subunit ribosomal RNA", at positions 26 to 341 of the family's 1533-position model. The record is from RNAcentral.